Long non-coding RNA from Saccostrea cuccullata (small rock oyster), 373 nucleotides. RefSeq lists it as uncharacterized. The transcript is spliced from 2 exons. The record is from RefSeq and is a predicted model, not a curated record. NCBI's taxonomy places the organism in Eukaryota, Metazoa, Mollusca, Bivalvia, Ostreida, Ostreidae.
CAUCUUCCGGUGCAUGUGAACUCUAUGACCUUCGAUCCCUCCGACUUUCCUUCCAGGGUCUUUCCUUUUGUAUGAGAUGCGCAUCAUUAGUCUGCUUAAUCUGCCUUGUUAUAUGGACGAGGAACUGGAAAGAUUGGAAAUAUGCCAAUAAAACUGUUCCACCAGAUCAGAGGGUAGAAGUGAAGUAUGCUAAAGUGCCAACUGAAAAUAAGGACAUAGACGGUGAACAACUGAGUCCAACAACAACAGAGUAAAAGAUUCGAGAGAAAAACAGAUACUGCAUUAAAUGUUUUUCUACCAAUGAAAAAAAAAAAUUGAUAUUUUCUUUUAAAUAAUCGUAUUUACAUUCGAAAGAAAUACAUUUUAACUUUGA